Long non-coding RNA from Helianthus annuus (common sunflower), 418 nucleotides. RefSeq lists it as uncharacterized. The record is from RefSeq and is a predicted model, not a curated record. The transcript has 3 exons. Lineage: Eukaryota; Viridiplantae; Streptophyta; Magnoliopsida; Asterales; Asteraceae.
UACUCGACACCCUCUAUCUCUCGAUAACACCACCUACUUGCAACAUCUUUUCGAAUCAUUGGAGUCGCCGGAGCUCGCGUCAGAAAACUGACCGGAGUUCACCGGAGCCGCCCGAGGUUCACGACGGCAUCACGUCAUCGCCGCAACCUCAUUCGAACCCCUUCACAUUCACCGGAGAAACUCAUACCGCCGCCGGAGAAGCCCGCAAACCAUCGGAACACAACCGCAAGUUCACCGGAACCGGAAUCUACGCCGGAACUCGUUACGACAUCGUUCGUUUCAUAUAGUUCCUUUUUAAUGAAGAAGAGGACCGAAGUCACGACGAAUCCACUUCGAUUCGGGUAAUCACUCUUGUUCGUUCUCUUGGAUUUCCCAAUCUCUACUUGUACGUUACUUACAAGAAAUCGCAACGCAAUCA